Molecule: non-coding RNA, 968 nt
Organism: Megalopta genalis
Lineage: Eukaryota; Metazoa; Arthropoda; Insecta; Hymenoptera; Halictidae
Source: RefSeq, a predicted model, not a curated record
UUAAAAAUUGUGUAAAUGUGUUUCUAAAAUCUACAUGUUUAAAAUAAAAAAUUGUUUUGAACUCUUGGUUGUUCCAGUGUUAACAACUUUUUACAAUAGACAAAAUGUAUCUACAUUUGUCACAGGAAUAAUUCACACAUGUUGAGAUUAAACUAGCUAUUUCUAUUCACAUAUGCACGUAGACGUAUGCAAAAUAAUUGCACAGUAUUUUUCUAUUUUUUACAAUAAUUAAUAACAGAAUAUAUACGCUGGUUUGCGUGGCAAAAAAUAAAUUCGAUUAUACUAUACUAUAUUAUAGAUUAAAAUUUCAUUCUGUAAUGGUGAUGCAUUUUGUAAAUGAAAAAAAAAAUAUGUGUCAUUGUUUCAAAGAUUUAUUCGAAUGUGCUGAUGUCUUACAUUCCAUGCAUAGCAGCUGCCUUCUUCGAUGUCAAGGUUAUUUUCAACUUCGAUUAGACGGUUCUCGCUAAAAUAUUUUUUGCCGGAAUAAAUGAACGGUUGGAACAUAUAUCUAUCUCUAUGAAUAUUCAUCGUUGACAAAGAAUUAAUUUGCGAUUCACAUUUGUCGCAAGUUUCGUCAAUGGAUUUCUUUUUUCGCCGGAAUCCCCGAUCGUAUCGGAACGAAACGUUUCUUUUUUUUAGCUUGGCUCGAUGGCUGAAGAAUGGGGUAAAAAAGAAUACCGUUUCGUUAUCCGCAAGCUAUUUUUGGAACCGUCAGUUUUUAGUCGGACGGAGGCGAACGUUGAGUAACAUUUGUCUGAUUCUGACCUUCUCGCAAUCGAUAAAAUAUUUCAUUGAUUUUAUUGGCCGGGAUAGACGAUAAAGAUGCGCGUAAUUGGUGGCUAAAAAUGUCAUCAGAACAUUACGUUCUAUUAUGUACCACUGCACGAGUAGCGUUCGUACACAACUACAGGGUUAUCCAAAAUAGACUAUAGAAAUUUUUUUUUAAAUAAAAAACAAACCGUUUUGAA